RNAcentral lists this ribosomal RNA (450 nucleotides) under uncultured bacterium. Its description in RNAcentral is "partial 16S ribosomal RNA". It matches the Rfam family "Bacterial small subunit ribosomal RNA", at positions 338 to 795 of the family's 1533-position model. The record is from RNAcentral.
CCUACGGGUGGCUGCAGUAAGGAAUAUUGGUCAAUGGAGGAAACUCUGAACCAGCCAUCCCGCGUGAAGGAUGAAGGGGCUCUGCCUUGUAAACUUCUUUUGUCUGGGGCGAAAAAGCUCGAUUUAUCGAGAACUGACGGUAUCAGAAGAAUAAGCACCGGCUAACUCCGUGCCAGCAGCCGCGGUAAUACGGAGGGUGCAAGCGUUAUCCGGAAUAACUGGGGUUAAGGGGUGCGAGUAAGUCUUUGGAGAAAGGCUGUGGCUUAACCAUGGAAUUGUCAUUGAUACUGCAGAUCUUGAAUGAGGUUGAGGUUGGCGGAAUGUGACAUGUAGCGGUGAAAUGCAUAGAUAUGUCAUGGAACACCGAUUGCGAAGGCAGCUGACUGGACCUAUAUUGACGCUGAGGCACGAAAGCGUGGGUAGCGAACAGGAUUAGAUACCCUGGUAGUC